This is an RNA transcript of Triticum aestivum (bread wheat), 1208 nucleotides long. RefSeq lists it as uncharacterized. The transcript has 6 exons. NCBI's taxonomy places the organism in Eukaryota, Viridiplantae, Streptophyta, Magnoliopsida, Poales, Poaceae. The record is from RefSeq and is a predicted model, not a curated record.
GCAUUGCAUUGCAUUGCAUGGUGAUGCUACUACUCCGUGGCAUGCAUGCACUAUAAACAAUCUCCCGUGCCCAUUGGUAGCGAAACCCUAGAAUUGAAUCGAGGCACCGGUGGCGGCGGCGGCGGCGAGCGAGCGAGCGAAAAAGAAAUCGAGGAUAAGGCGAGGGAAGAGGCAAUCAUGUCCCUCCGACGGGCCGUCAGUUUCCUCCUCACACGGAGGCUCUCGUCGCGGGUGAUCCCAAGGACGGCUCCUGCACGCUCUUUCCACUCCUUGGGCCUCCCCAUCGGCGAUGGCCUUCGUGGUGCUGCUGGUGUGGCCGCGGCCGCUGCUGCGUUUGCUGGUGCUGGAACCUUGGCAGUUCAAUAUUUCAGGAAAGGCCCAAAUGAUGAUGAGCCAGCUACUCGCAAGAAAGAGCAGGACAUCUAUAUAUAUAAAGAGGAGGAGAUGCAAGAGAGGUUUGAGAAUUGGAUGAAGCGGUUCAACAAGACAUACCGAAACGAGAAAGAGAAGGCUAUGCGGUUCCAAGUAUUCAAGGAAACCAUGAAGUGGAUUGAAUCGCAGCCCCCAUCUUCCCAGAAGCUUAUGCUUCCAGGAAACUGUUUUGCAGACUUGAGAAGCGAGGAGCUUCCGUGCAGCCAGACCUGUAUCGGUGAUUUAGAUGACCCAGACACUGAAGAUUACCGCGAGAACAAGUUUGUCACCGAGAAUGUGGAAGCCAGUAGGCAGUAGCAACUGCACGCUAAGAGCACUGACCUCUGUCCUGGACAAGCAAUCGUAUGGAAGCCAGUAUGGCCAGCCGUGAAGCAGGGUGGCAAGCAAGCAACUCAAGUCUCUGCCUAGAAACGAUAUCCGGUGCACGUCACAUGACAUAAGGUCCAACGUAUGGGAACACUCUUUCUUUUUAUAACUUGUAACAAGGGGGGGAAACAUGAACAUGGUUACCGUUUAUCAAAUGCUUGGCAAGACAAUCGUGGAGGAGGCUCUUAGAAGCAAAAGUAAGAAGAGUAGCGCCACAGGAAAGGUGUUCGCAGCUGCUUAAUGAAUGGUCAUCAAUCUUUUGGAUUGUGCUUGGUACUCUUGUUGGGAAUUUCUUUGCGGUGUAGAAGUGUGAAGGUUGGUGGUCGUUGCGUGUUGGGUAUGGUUGUUGGCCUCAUUGUGCACUUAUGGGGUUUGCAUGCUUUGUGAGUAGUACACAUGUGAUUGGUUUA